UUGUAAGGCAGGGACAAUUUGAAUAAUGGCUGGUAUAUAUUUUUCGAAAGGACAGUGGGCAUUGAGUUUUAUUUUUUUCAAAUAUUUUUGGUCCCCGUCUAACUUGGAGCAUCCUUUGAAUUUUUACACUUGGCAAAAUUUGAACUACUUAGUAUGCAAAGUGCUUACUGAAUCACCAUUUAACUCUAAUGUAUUGCAGCCAGAGCAUCUCCUAGCCUCUCGACUGAAACAAUUUUCUUUCCUCCCUUGCCCUCCUCUUGGGUUUUUUUUGAAACCCAAACAGCACUCUUCCUCUGACUUUACAAGCCCAGAAAACAGAUACAGUAUGUAGUAAUUCUUAAAAACUCAAAAGCCAGCACAUUGCUUUGGGGUUUGUUUUUAAGUUUUUAAUUUGGUCCUUAUAAAGGUCUGGUACUGUUGCUAUUUGGGUUUUUUCUAAGAACCAACAUAGCUGCCUCCAUUUAUUUUAUUGUCUUAAGUUAUUCUAAUUGCUUAAUUGGUUUUGGCUUGUCUCAACAGAGAUUACAAGGUAUACAACAGAAAACCCAUACUGUUCACAGGUGAUGCUUUUGUGGCAGAAGACUCACCAGUCACCAAUCACCACAUUUAUCCUUACCCAAAAUACAUUUUUAUAUGCAAUACUGUAUAUUAAGUAAGCUAUGACUACACACUCCUCCUCCUUAUGGAACAGUGAACUGAAACAAUGGUGCAAACAUUCCGUUUUAUUUUAUUUUAUUGUGAGACUUGAAGCUCUGAAUUCAAGCUUUUCCCAAUCAAACGAAAAGGGUCUAUUCUAGUAUAUCUCAAACCUUCAAAAGCUAAAGGAAUUCUUCUGGGUUUUAUAAAAUAAGGGCAGGUAGUCUUGCAUCUCCUAGAGUGUAUGGCAGGGGAACUUAUAAUUGAUCAUGCCAGGAAAUGAAUGGUUAGGAUAAAUCCCAUACAUAAAUGUUCAAUACAUUGAUGGCAAAACUCAGAGUUUCCCUACAAUAUCAGCUUGUAAAAUAAAAUACAACUUUGCUUUUCCAGUGUGGUGUAUAUCUAAAGCGGAUAAGCUUAAAAAUACUGGAUAAAAUGGCAAAUGAUGUUAACAUAGAGUUGCACUGAGAAGGUAGAUUGAGUAAAUUUCUGGAUUCAGAUUUGUAAAUUUGGACAAUAGCAGUUCUAUUGUAUUGCUGUUUCUGGAUCAUUGUUAAAUGUUUUGGUUUUUUAAUGAUGGCAGUUAGUCUUAAUGAAAUAAAUGUAUGUGCAUUUUUUUAUUUAACUUUUUUUUUUUGCACUGAGGUGAAAUGGAAGGAAUAUAAACUCUGGUACAUCCACAUUUUAAAAACUGUUCUUAACCAGUAGAAUAAUCUGUAAACAUGUAGGGAAAGUACUUUUUAAGUACCCUACAUGUACUUAACUUGGAAUAUUUUGCAUGUUCACUCCACAUAACCUUGAAAGAAAAGGGUGGAGAUUCUAGAUUCGAGGAGUGGGACUAUGUGAAAUUGUCUCUUGCCCAAAAUGUAGCAUAAUUGACAGACACCAACAGACUAUACAUGGUUUCGGAUUCUGUGUUUUGGUAUUUUGAAAGAAAUACUAUCACACAGGAGUUAGUCUUCCCCCUUACAAAUGCUGCAGCUUAACGUUGCUGUUCCUGGGCUGCACUUGAUACAAUCUGAGGCCCUUAUCAUUCAUCAUACUUGUCCAGUUUUCUGAAGCAAACAUUAACAUCUCGCUCCUUUCUAAAUCUUUGAAUAGUCAGAUAAACACUGCAUUGAAUGUUAUUUUUUUGAACUGAAUCACAAAUUGUGGAGGUCUGGUAUGUUAAUGGCACUGUACUCUAGGUCGCAGACAUGGACCCCAUGGUCAUGAACUGAAUAAAAAUAAUGCAACAAGGGUAAACAAUAUGUAGACUUGUAGGUGACACUGAUUAGCCCUUUACAAAGAAAGCAGACUCUUUUAACAAUCUGUCAAAUGUCAUUUAUUAAAUCAGAUCAAUAGAUACAAGCAAUAAAUAUAUUGAAUAAGGAAAAAACCAGUGAUGGCAACCAGCUCUCUUUUUACAGGUUAAUAACAUUGUGAUGCACUGUAGUUGUAAUUUAGCUACUUUUUAAAAGUAACAAUAAUGAUGAAAAUAAUUGCAUUUGAUGCCAUCAGCAGGUGCUGUAUUUUUGCUGUAAUGCAUGGAAAAAGGGAAAGGAACAUCAGCUGCCAACAUUGUGUGUUCUGUCAACAUGAUUAAGUGGUAGCAGAGGGACUGCUGGGAACAUACACUGGAAAUGCCACACAACGUGACCUUUCUCGGAGUAAAAAUGUGGCUGGAGGUGGGAAUGAAACUAGGUUCCAAAGGCAAAUUGAAGGCACUGUUGCUUAUAUCAAUGAUCAAUGCAUUUUUACCAAUACAAAUACCUCUUUCUAGUU
This is a long non-coding RNA of Podarcis raffonei (Aeolian wall lizard), 2400 nucleotides long. RefSeq lists it as uncharacterized. The record is from RefSeq and is a predicted model, not a curated record. The transcript has 2 exons. Lineage: Eukaryota; Metazoa; Chordata; Lepidosauria; Squamata; Lacertidae.